Molecule: long non-coding RNA, 1661 nt
Organism: Gracilinanus agilis (Agile Gracile Mouse Opossum)
Lineage: Eukaryota; Metazoa; Chordata; Mammalia; Didelphimorphia; Didelphidae
Exons: 2
Source: RefSeq, a predicted model, not a curated record
GCUUUCCAGCAGGAUCUGGCAGUGCUCGGUGGCCUCCCAGAGGCCUCCGUCUGCUCCGCUUUUGCUCUUCUCCCUCUACUAGAGGCCGAGUCCUCCCCGGCCCCCCAGGGGGCUUAGCCUGCCCCGGCCCUGAACAUCCCGUACCGGGGUGACGAAUCACUGCUUUCCCCGAGUCAGCGAGGGGUGCCGUGAGGCGUGUUGGGCCUAGUCAGGAAGCCCCGAGUUCAGGUCCCAACUCAGACCCUUCCUCGUGGUGACCCUGGGCGAGUCCCUGCCCCGUUGGCCGCCGUUUCUUCUGUCCCACAAGGAGGGCAACCCCCAUGGUUUAGAGGCUCCUCUGGCCCACUCCGUGCCCUCUGUCCCACAAGGAGGUGGAGCUCAGGGAUAGCAUUUGUGCUUCGGUUCCGACAGGUACCCCUCGACCCAGUUCGGCAGCUUGACGGGCCUCCAGUCUCUGGUCAGCGCUCUCUUCGCCCUCCUGCAGCAGCCCUUGUUCAUGGCCAUGAUGGGGCCCCUCCAGGGAGACCCGCUCUGGGUCAACGUGGGGCUCCUGGGAGUGAGCAUGCUGGGCUUCUGCCUGCCCCUCUACCUGAUCUUCUACCGGCGGCAGCUGCAGAGGCAGCUGGCCCAGAAGAGAGAGGACGAGAAGCUCUUCCUCAAGAUCAACGGCACCCCCAAUCAGGAGGCUUUCGUGUAGGGUGCCUGGGCCGCCUUGGGCCCUCCCCCUCCAGCCGUGGCUGCCUCGGGUCCCCACCUCUGCCACUCCAGGAGCUGGGGCCUUGUUGGGGGGCCCGCCUGACCUUUCUUCUCUGACCAGAGCUGCCCAUGGGACAGGCCCCCCGUCCUCCUCCCUGAGGCCCCCCAGCACCCCGGAGCCCCCGGCUGGCCGCCCCACACACUGGACAGGAUGCUCUGACUCCUGUGGCCAGGGAGCCUCCCUCCUGAGCGAAGGGGCUGCGCCUCCCUCAGCCGUUUGAAGAGGGGCUGUCGGGCCAGCUGCCCCUCCGCUGCAUGCCAACACAAUUGACCCACGACGCCGGGCUUUAGCCCGGCCGGCCGCUCUGCUCUGCUUGGCCCGGAGACCUCCGGAUGGGAGGAAGGAAGGACCCUGGCGCCGUCCUUGGUGCUAACUCUCUUGGGGCUCGGCCUUGUCCUAUGCAUGCGAGCUCCCCCCUCCUGGGUCCGGGAGGCAGGAAGCCGGAGGCCAAGUCCUUGGAGGGGGCAGCCGAGGCCUCUGGGGGCGGGCGGGGGCCGCAGCCUGGCUGGCAUUGAGGGGACGAGGGAUCAGGGUGCUACACGACCUCCUCACUGUUUUGGGGGGUGGGGAGGACAAUGGGGGGCAGAAGCGGUUCUUGGCUAGAAUCACCCCAGUGUGAAUGGCAGCGUGUGUAUGUGCUUGUGGUGUGUUUAGAGCAGAGCCCGGGGCGCCCCCGCCUCCAGGGAUGCGGCUGUGGGCACGCGGCGCCCCCUGGUGGCAGACUUCCCCAAGUCAUGGGCCCUGGAGGACGCCGCCGGCUGGGUCCUCUUUUUAAUGGACGUCCUGCUAGGUCCCGAGUGGCGCGCCUGGGCUCCGCGCUUCUCCGUUGGUUGAUUGAAUUCGAGGGUUUCUCAAACUUUUUUGGGGGGGGGAGGGGUAAAGCAAUAAAUCCAUCUUCCUCAUA